CGAGUGAACAGAUAAAAGAAAGAGAGAACGAGAGAGAGAGGCCAAGCCCAAGCAGCUUCUCUUCCCGGUGAGUUGUUAAACAAGCAAAAGAAAAUAUUUAUUUUCCCUUCCCUUUUUAUUUAAGCAACUUUUUAUCUCUAGUUCUCAUGCAUAUCCUAUAUAUAUUAUCUGCAGGACUUUGAAAGAUGGGUGCAGGUGGUCGUAUGUCGGAUCCGCCUAGUGGCAAGAAGACUGCAGCUGAAGCCCUUCGACGGGCUCCUCACGAGAAGCCUCCAUUCACAUUAGCAGACUUAAAGAAAGCCAUUCCACCCCAUUGUUUUCAAAAAUCUCUUAUUACCUCUUUCCGAUACCUUAUUCAGGAUCUCAUCAUGGCCUACACCCUCUACUAUGUGGCCACUAAUUAUAUCGACCUCCUCCCUCGUCCUCUCAAUUACUUGGGUUGGGCUGCUUACAUUGCUGUUCAAGGUUGUGUCCUUACUGGGGCUUGGGUUAUAGGCCAUGAAUGUGAUCACCAUGCUUUUAGUGACUAUCAGUGGGUCGACGACCUUGUUGGCCUUGUUGUCCACUCCUCUCUUCUCGUCCCUUACUUUUCUUGGAAAAUUAGCCACCGUCGUCACCAUGCCAACACCCAAUCCCUUGAAAAUGACGAGGUGUAUGUCCCAAGAUUUAAGUCCAACAUCCGAAACUAUUACAAAAUCUUUGACAAUCCACCUGGUCGAGUACUUGUUUGGAUUACCACACUCCUUAUCGGUUUUCCUUUAUACUUGAUGUUCAAUGUAUCCGGCCACAAGUACGAAAGGUGGACUUCCCACUAUGAUCCCCAUAGCCCACUUUAUUCCGAUCGUGAACGCAAAGAGAUUAUUAUUUCUGAUGUUGCUAUUCUUGCUGUCAUCUAUGGACUCUAUCAUCUUGUGUUAGCCAAAGGACUUGCAUGGGUUUUCUGCGUCUAUGGAGGUCCAUUACUAGUUGUUAAUGGUUGGUUCGUGUUGAUCACCAUAUUGAAUCAUACUCACCCUUCUUUGCCUUACUAUGAUUCUACCGAGUGGGAUUGGUUGAGGGGAGCUCUUUGCACCGUAGAUAGAGAUUAUGGAAUUUUGAACAAGGUGUUCCACAAUGUGUGCAAUGCUCAUGUUUGUCACCAUAUUUUCUCCAUGAUGCCGCAUUAUCAUGGACUGGAAGCAACUGAGGUAAUGAAGCCAUUAUUGGGUGAAUAUUAUCAGUAUGAUGGAACUCCGAUUCUUAAGGCAAUGUACAGAGAAAUGAAGGAGUGCAUUUAUGUUGAGAAAGAUGAAGGUGAGACAAAAGGAGUCUACUGGUACAGAAACAAGUUUUGAUUCCAAGUUGGAAAGAAAAGACAAAUGAAAACCCUAGGGGGAAGCAGCAUCAGUACUUGUUACUGCAUAUUUGUCCUCUAUUUCCUAGGAGUUUAGUUGUUAGCAAUAAACAUCUAAUGUUAUUGAUCAUAAAAUAAUCAUGCAUGUUGUUUUAGAUGUUCAGGUCCUUUUCCCCUUGAAAUGUAAUGUCAAGUGUUUAUGUAAUAAAUAAUAAUAUAUAGUUCAUUUCCUGUCCAAACUUCUUUCAAUUUAGUGUUCUGUUUGAAAUAUUGCUCGCCUCAUUUCCAUGCAUCUAUGCAAGUUUCCUAUUCUUUGUUCAUGUAACUUUAGUAGCGAUGCUAUUUUUUUUUGCGUGUUAACAUAAAGUCCUAAUCUAAGUCUUGAGAAUCACCAUGUAAUCUGUCUUUGGCAGGCUAUUCCCUUAAUCGUCAAUUAAUUUUGAGUUGAAUCUUUAAUAUAAUUAUAUACAUACACAAUUUCAACGUGUAAAUGGAGAAAAACAAAAUAGUGUAAUUAAAAAGUUCAAUUAAGUUUCCGUUUCUGUAAUUAGUUGUAAAAUAAUGUGAUAAGGAAGACUGCUUUAAAAAUAGAAUUCCUUGCCCAUACACGAUUUAGGUUUUACUUUUUAAAAAUAGUAAAAUUUGAACAAAAGUAAAGAAACAAUAUAUUGAAGAUUACAUUAAAAACAAACAGUUGGUGUAGCUUAAUUAAUUUGAACUCUUAUUUAUUUACUUACAAAUCUUGUGUUCAAGCCUCAUAACUCACAAGUAGCAAUAUUUUAUUUUUUUAAAAAAAUAAGUCGCGGGCCACGAGCUGGGCCGGGCCAAAAACGGGUCGGGCCAGAAUGGCCCGCAUUUUCCUGGGCUGAAAUAUUGUUGCCCAUGGCCCAUGUUUCUACGGGCCAUAGGCCGACCCGCGGGCCUGGGCCUAAAUUGCCAGGUCUACCCGCACAAUAGAACAACUCCGAUACAACCCAUCUUUCUAAGUGUCAAGCCAGAAAGAUUUUUGAUCUCCCUCUUCUUAAUUAUGUUUCUCUACCCUUUAUAUUUUCUAUGUGAUUUGGUUUGAUAUGAAGAAUGAGAUUUUCAGGAAAAAGAUUCGACGAUUUAAAAAGAUUUGAUUUUAUUGGUCCGAAUUAGACAGAAUCGUCAAUUGGUAUGAGUUAAAUGGUUGUAUCAACUCAAUCAAGUUUGGAAAGGUUUUGCAAUAUGGCCCAAUUAUUGGACUCUGUUUAAUUGGUAAAAACCGAGAUUCAUAGAGUUCGGGGGCUUGAUUAAGCGGGGGAAAGGUAUUAGGCACCCCCGACUUUCAUUAAACACAGUUACUGUGCUAUUUUUGAUUCCCUAAUGUGUGUAUAUGUGUAUUGCAGUUACAUAAAGCCACACCUUUCGCAGGUAAACCUGCGGAUUCCACAUGUACACCAGCAGUGACAUAGGUCUCUCCAAGAGCUACGCAAUGACAUAGGUCUAACAUUUUUCCGAAUUUGAGAAGAUGGGUCCAUGAUCGAAAUGGCAUAUUUGGGUCUUCGCAGGUAGUCCGUUGAGUUGUUUUGCGUAGUUUGAGCUCGGAAAUGCUACAAUGGCUCUUUGUGACCCCAUUUGCAGUUCCUUUAUGUUUUUUGAAAUUAACUUGUCAAAAUGAUCAUUUUUCCUUUUCAGGGGUUGUCUCCAGGGUUGACGGGGCUUUUGGCUGUACUUCGGGGUUGUCUCUGAGGUUUGAUCACAACUGAUUCUGUUUUUCCUCAUGAUUGUCUCCGAGGAUUGAUUUGAUACUUCAGGGUUAUCUCCGAAGGUUGGUUUGAUAUCCUGGGGUUGUCUCCACAGAUUGAUUUGAUGAUUUCCCUGUGCUGUUGACGGGGUUCUGGUUUGAUGAUUUCUCGGUGCUGUUGCCAGGGGUCUGGCUUGAUGAUUUCCCGGUGUUGUUGCCAGGGUCUGGCUUGAUGACUUCCCGGUGUUGUUGCAGGGGUUCUGGUUUGAUGAUUUCUCGGUGCUGUUGUUGGGGUUCUAGUUUGAUGAUUCUGAAUUCUAGGGUUGUCCCUAGAAGAUAAAAGACGAUUUUGUCCAUCAGUAUGGUUAGUAAUAAAAAUGCGAAAUUUCGAGUGCCUACACAAAGUAGAUAUAUUCUCUAAAAUCUUAAAUUUUGUUAAUAAUUAUAAAUUAAAGAGUCAGCAUAUGCAUCUUAUGUGCCAAAAGAAUGUCUCAUACUUGUUUCCUUUUAUGUUUUCUUAUCCCAAAGGUUUUGGUAUUCUAUUUUUAUAGAUAAUUUACAUCUCGAAGAAAAUAUUUUUGUUUGCCUUAAACAUAUUCUUUUUAAGAUGUACAUAUUUUGACCAAUAUAUAGUAUAGAUACACAAAACUUGACAAUAUUGAAUAACAUAUAAUUGAAUACUCAAUAUAUAAUCAUAAUGAUCUAUUCCACUCAUAAUCAAUUUUUGAUACUUUGAAGAAAUUUUUAAAAAAAUUAAAAAAAAAUAAAGUGAGAGAGCUGUAGGUUGAGUCGGGUUUAAGGUUGUCUAAUCUAUCUUAAAAUUUUCGGGCUCAAGUUCGGACUUGGCUCAUUAAAGUUAUAAUAAAAUUGUUUAAAUUCACCCAAAUGAGAUCACGAGUUUCAGACUUUUUUCAGUCAAACUCGUAUUAAAAUAUAAAAUUAUUAAUAUUGACUCCUAGACCCCAAAAAACAUAAUUUAAAGUAAUUCAUUUAAAAUAUUCGACGUACAAUAAUUUUUUAACUAAUCGAAUUAAAGUUUAAAAUAACAUAAAUAAGCUAUUUUAUAAAUAUUCUAGUAUUUAUUAUAUUUAAUCUUAAUAUUUUUUUAUUUUAUUACCAAAAUGAUAUAAGUGACCACUUUAUAAAAAAAUAUAGUACUUAAUUUUAAGUUGAGAAUACUAUGUAUACAUAUAAAUUGAGAGAUCAGUAAAUAUGUAAUAAUUAAUAUAAAUAAUAUAUUUUUAACACUAUAAUUUGGUCAUCCUAUAGUGGGCCAAAUUAACGGCCUCGGCCCAAAUUUCACUUCAGGCUUUAUUUAGGGUUCUUUACAAUAAUAUACAACAAAUAGUAAAUAAUUACAAGAUUAGUGCAUCAAUAAAAUAAUUAUAAUAAUAGUGCAAUAAUAUAUAAUAAUAUCAAGAAUAGUGCAAUACACGUCAUAUUAUCCAACCCAACAAAAAUAGAAAACUCUUAAUUCAAGGAGAAAACUACUCCACUGUGUGCGACUGUGACGCCCCCAAAAUAGGUCCACACGACCCAUCUUGAGUUGCCAGAUAUCACACUACAGAAAUCAAAUACAAACUUUAUUUAUACAACUGUUGAACUGUCGUGCAGAGUAUGACAACACAUAAGCUGUGAGUUUUAAUACAAAUAUAUGUAACUCUCAUAGUGUCUCGACCACAACACCUUACAAUGGUACUUUACAUAAAAGUACAGUCAAUAACUGUUUUAGAAAUUAAAAUCUUUGGAAAAUGCUCAAGAAAACCUUCGUACAUGGGAGGCCAUGCAUCUAAGUUAUAAUAGAUAUCAUAUGACUAGAGAAUUAUCCUUGGUUGACCCAAUAGACCCCAAAGAAAAAUGAGAAGAUUACUAUCAUAUUCUUUCCAAUGGUGAGUCUUCUCUUGACAUAUAAUUAUCUCCAUUGUCUCCAAUUGAGAAUUAUAUUUCAACCAAACUCCAAGAUUAUAUAGGUGGUGCUCAUAGAUAUAAUAAGCAAGUGCAUGAGCACAACCCUGUCUUAUGAUAACACGAAGUCGUCUGUCAUUAGACAUCUUGUAUGAUAGUGGCAAAAACGCCCUUCCAAAGUUGGGUUCACCUUACCCUAUUCGGUUCAUCAAAAUCAACGGUUAAAAUGAAGUAUAAAAUACGACACACUUAUCUAAAAUUCUCAAUAAAAUUAUUUUCAUACUAUUUUAGGGGAAACCUCAAUAACUAUAUAUAGACCAUCAUUCUAUUCCUCUGUUACCCCCGCUUGACCAAGCUACACUUUUAUUACCUCUGAAGAAGACUGGAUACUGGAAUAGUGAAGUAGCAGACUUCUCUUCUUCUUUCUUUCUAUAGCUUUUCUCUCUAUAAUUGCUCUUAUGAGUCUUAGUGAAUUGGUGAGAAUGAAAGAAGAAUGAGCUUCUAUUUAUAGGAAAAUAUAGUUUCGAUAAUUGCACGUUUUGGGGCUCAAAAUAUUACAGUAUAAUACCUUCAUCUUUUUCUUUAUUUUUAAUUUAGUCUUGCAGGUAUUAUCAAACUUGCACCACCUCCCCUAAUAGUACAUGAAUGUGAAUCAAUAGUACAUUCAUGUGAAUAUAUCAAUAGUUCUAUACAUGUGGAAAAAAAUAGUUACGAUAUAGUACCUUCAUCGUCUAUACUAGGACUGAGCAUUCGGUUAUAACCGAACCGAAUAGCUUAUUCGGUUAUAACCGAAUACCGAACCGAACUUAUUUUUGUUAUCCGAAAGACUACCCGAAAUGACAAAUAACUGAAUAACCGAAUAACCGAAUAACCGAAUUAAUUAUUUGGUUAUUCGGUUAAUAACCGAAUGUAAUACACAGACACACUACACAGUACACAACAAUCAACAUGAAUUAUCCUAACAGUUUUAUAUGUUUACAGUCAACAUUCUCCAACACCAACUGAGACAACAUUCAACAACAAUCAACAACAUCAAGUCCAACUGAUAUACAUUCCCAACAGACAAGUGACUGCAGCAUGAAUACACCAACUGAUAUAGCACAGCAUGAUACAGACAACUGAUAUACACAGCAUGAUACACACCAAGUCCAACUGAUAUACACUAACUGACAACAUCACAACACAGCUUGAAUUUCCAACAGAGUACAGACAAGUGAGACAACAUUCAACAUACAAAAGCAACAGAAUGAUCCACCAAGUCAACAGCAACAGAGAGUCUGAGACAACACCAACUGAGACAACACCAAAAACAUGAAUGAGAGUAUGACUGAGACACCAAAAAUAGACUGACUAAGACACCAAAAAAAGACUGACUGAGACACCAAGUCAACAGCAACAGACUGAUCCAACACCAACAAACUGACUGAGACUGUAAGACCCCGAAUUUUAUGAAAUAAAAGUAUUCAAUUUUUCUUAUAAUUACUAUUCAGUAAAUGGUUAAAUUGAUAAAAAAGUUAAAGUUAAGGGUGAUAUAUGAAUUUUUUCAAAAAUACGCAAGUGGUUAUAAAAUAUUCAUUGUUGUCGGGGAAUAUUCGUUUGGUCGUGGAAUAUUCUUUCUGUCGGGAAAUAUUCGUACGACGGCGCAACCAUUUGUGGGCCACAUAACAGAAUAACUGUCGGAUGAAGAAAACGACAAAAGAGAGUUUUUAUAAAUAACGACGUAGUUGUUAAUACUGUUGGAAUACCCGGUGGUUAAAAUAAAGUAAUACGCGUUGUUGCACAGUAGCACACGGUAUUACACAGUAUUUUUGAAUUAUUGAUUCUUACGUAAGAAGGCACUACUCAAUAAUUGUUACAGUAAUUAUUGUUCAAUAUUUUAUUGAUUCAAUAAUUGCUGCGUUGAUAUUUUAUAUUGCUGUUGUUUCAAUAAUUGUCAUUACACAGUAUUUUUCAUUAUCGAAGCAAUAAUUCAUAUUAUCUGAAUAAUAUUAUUAGAUAACAUUAUUGGCAAUGUCUAGAAAGUUCUGUCUAAGGAGAGGUUUGGUCACCUAAUUGCGCGCCAGUAAGGAGAAAUUCUUAUUGGAAAGCCCCCUCUUUCCUGGGAACUGCCUGGUUGUCAUUAUUGUGAUUCUGUAAUAUUAUUUGUGAAUAAUUAAUUAUUGAUUUAUAUGAUGAGGAAAAUAUUCAUUUUAUGUGGAUAUAGAUGGAGAAAAUUUUUAAAGUGACAAUUGUUGAAAAUCGAUAUUUUAUCUUUUCUGAUAAAAUAUUAUUUUAUUAUAUUAUUAUAAUAUUAUAAUGAUAUUUUUACAAUGAAUGUGGGAUAUAUGAGUAUAUGAGGAGGAGGAGUAUUUUUGUUGCAAAAGUUGUUUAAAACAUGCUAAACAUGUCUGUGGGCCCAUUUCUUGACUGAAAUUUGAUUAUAGCCUGUAAAAUCGUCCGUAUGUGAAUUUCGGUCAAUUUUUGUUUGGGAUUUUGAAAAACUUUCUUCUGCAAAGUUGUAGAGAAUUGAAUUUCCUAUAAAAAUUUGCGAGAUUCGAAUUUUCUGAUAAAAGGGCUAUUUAUUAUGAAUUAUUGAAGUUCCAAAGUUCCGGAAUAAUUAAUUUUUGAAGUUUUAAUUAUUUUUUAAUAAGAAAAACGUUUUUUUACAUUUUUGGGACUCAUUUAACAUGUGUUAGGAUGGCUGAUUUCAGAUGCUAGGUGUGCGUAGGAAAUUUAUAUGAAUAUAUUAUUAAUUUAUUAAAUUUUCUACUUUGGUGUUCUAAGCAUUUUCCUAUAAAUAGGGUGCUUAGGUUAGAAUUGAAAAUCACACCAGAAAUUGAAGUUUUUUCUAUAUUUCUCUCUAUAAUAUCGAGCGUAUUUUGUUAGUAUUUUAGUACUUUGAGUAUUGCUAUACGGUGCAAGUUCUUUCAGCACUAUAUCCAGUAUUCCAAUCAGAAGUACUAUUCUUUCUGAGGUACGGGAUAGUAUGGGAUUUUAAGGGAUUGUAAGGGGGAUUAUUUUCUUCAUAAAUGAUAUUAUUUCUUCAAUAUCAUUAUGCCGAAAUAUUAGUUGGAAAUUUUUAUCAAAUUUGGAACUUUUUCAUGUCGGGGUUACUAUUCAUGAGUUACUAUUCAUGAGUUACUAUUCACGAGUUACUAUUCACGAGUACUAUUCACGAAGCGUGAUGAUGUUUUUUUGAAAUUUCUAUCUUUUGGUGUCGGAGUUACUAUUCACGUAUACGGCACUAUUCACGUAUACGGCACUAUUCACGAAUACGGCACUAUUCACCGAAAAAUGAAAUUUCUUCUUUUUGUCCAAAAUAUCUAUUAUGGAUACUAGCUUUGAUUGUAUCCAUGUUUUGAUCAUUCUUGAAUUUUACACCACUAUGAUUAUUUUUGAGGUAUUUUUGGACGUGGAUAAAACAAAGUACGAAUCCUUAAUCCUUAAUCCUUGUCAUUUUNNNNNNNNNNNNNNNNNNNNNNNNNNNNNNNNNNNNNNNNNNNNNNNNNNNNNNNNNNNNNNNNNNNNNNNNNNNNNNNNNNNNNNNNNNNNNNNNNNNNUGCUACAAUGGCUCUUUGUGACCCCAUUUGCAGUUCCUUUAUGUUUUUUGAAAUUAACUUGUCAAAAUGAUCAUUUUUCCUUUUCAGGGGUUGUCUCCAGGGUUGACGGGGCUUUUGGCUGUACUUCGGGGUUGUCUCUGAGGUUUGAUCACAACUGAUUCUGUUUUUCCUCAUGAUUGUCUCCGAGGAUUGAUUUGAUACUUCAGGGUUAUCUCCGAAGGUUGGUUUGAUAUCCUGGGGUUGUCUCCACAGAUUGAUUUGAUGAUUUCCCUGUGCUGUUGACGGGGUUCUGGUUUGAUGAUUUCUCGGUGCUGUUGCCAGGGGUCUGGCUUGAUGAUUUCCCGGUGUUGUUGCCAGGGUCUGGCUUGAUGACUUCCCGGUGUUGUUGCAGGGGUUCUGGUUUGAUGAUUUCUCGGUGCUGUUGUUGGGGUUCUAGUUUGAUGAUUCUGAAUUCUAGGGUUGUCCCUAGAAGAUAAAAGACGAUUUUGUCCAUCAGUAUGGUUAGUAAUAAAAAUGCAAAAUUUCGAGUGCCUACACAAAGUAGAUAUAUUCUCUAAAAUCUUAAAUUUUGUUAAUAAUUAUAAAUUAAAGAGUCAGCAUAUGCAUCUUAUGUGCCAAAAGAAUGUCUCAUACUUGUUUCCUUUUAUGUUUUCUUAUCCCAAAGGUUUUGGUAUUCUAUUUUUAUAGAUAAUUUACAUCUCGAAGAAAAUAUUUUUGUUUGCCUUAAACAUAUUCUUUUUAAGAUGUACAUAUUUUGACCAAUAUAUAGUAUAGAUACACAAAACUUGACAAUAUUGAAUAACAUAUAAUUGAAUACUCAAUAUAUAAUCAUAAUGAUCUAUUCCACUCAUAAUCAAUUUUUGAUACUUUGAAGAAAUUUUUAAAAAAAUUAAAAAAAAAUAAAGUGAGAGAGCUGUAGGUUGAGUCGGGUUUAAGGUUGUCUAAUCUAUCUUAAAAUUUUCGGGCUCAAGUUCGGACUUGGCACAUUAAAGUUAUAAUAAAAUUGUUUAAAUUCACCCAAAUGAGAUCACGAGUUUCAGACUUUUUUCAGUCAAACUCGUAUUAAAAUAUAAAAUUAUUAAUAUUGACUCCUAGACCCCAAAAAACAUAAUUUAAAGUAAUUCAUUUAAAAUAUUCGACGUACAAUAAUUUUUUAACUAAUCGAAUUAAAGUUUAAAAUAACAUAAAUAAGCUAUUUUAUAAAUAUUCUAGUAUUUAUUAUAUUUAAUCUUAAUAUUUUUUUAUUUUAUUACCAAAAUGAUAUAAGUGACCACUUUAUAAAAAAAUAUAGUACUUAAUUUUAAGUUGAGAAUACUAUGUAUACAUAUAAAUUGAGAGAUCAGUAAAUAUGUAAUAAUUAAUAUAAAUAAUAUAUUUUUAACACUAUAAUUUGGUCAUCCUAUAGUGGGCCAAAUUAACGACCUCGACCCAAAUUUCACUUCAGGCUUUAUUUAGGGUUCUUUACAAUAAUAUACAACAAAUAGUAAAUAAUUACAAGAUUAGUGCAUCAAUAAAAUAAUUAUAAUAAUAGUGCAAUAAUAUAUAAUAAUAUCAAGAAUAGUGCAAUACACGUCAUAUUAUCCAACCCAACAAAAAUAGAAAACUCUUAAUUCAAGGAGAAAACUACUCCACUGUGUGCGACUGUGACGCCCCCAAAAUAGGUCCACACGACCCAUCUUGAGUUGCCAGAUAUCACACUACAGAAAUCAAAUACAAACUUUAUUUAUACAACUGUUGAACUGUCGUGCAGAGUAUGACAACACAUAAGCUGUGAGUUUUAAUACAAAUAUAUGUAACUCUCAUAGUGUCUCGACCACAACACCUUACAAUGGUACUUUACAUAAAAGUACAGUCAAUAACUGUUUUAGAAAUUAAAAUCUUUGGAAAAUGCUCAAGGAAACCUUCGUACAUGGGAGGCCAUGCAUCUAAGUUAUAAUAGAUAUCAUAUGACUAGAGAAUUAUCCUUGGUUGACCCAAUAGACCCCAAAGAAAAAUGAGAAGAUUACUAUCAUAUUCUUUCCAAUGGUGAGUCUUCUCUUGACAUAUAAUUAUCUCCAUUGUCUCCAAUUGAGAAUUAUAUUUCAACCAAACUCCAAGAUUAUAUAGGUGGUGCUCAUAGAUAUAAUAAGCAAGUGCAUGAGCACAACCCUGUCUUAUGAUAACACGAAGUCGUCUGUCAUUAGACAUCUUGUAUGAUAGUGGCAAAAACGCCCUUCCAAAGUUGGGUUCACCUUACCCUAUUCGGUUCAUCAAAAUCAACGGUUAAAAUGACGUAUAAAAUACGACACACUUAUCUAAAAUUCUCAAUAAAAUUAUUUUCAUACUAUUUUAGGGGAAACCUCAAUAACUAUAUAUAGACCAUCAUUCUAUUCCUCUGUUACCCCCGCUUGACCAAGCUACACUUUUAUUACCUCUGAAGAAGACUGGAUACUGGAAUAGUGAAGUAGCAGACUUCUCUUCUUCUUUCUUUCUAUAGCUUUUCUCUCUAUAAUUGCUCUUAUGAGUCUUAGUGAAUUGGUGAGAAUGAAAGAAGAAUGAGCUUCUAUUUAUAGGAAAAUAUAGUUUCGAUAAUUGCACGUUUUGGGGCUCAAAAUAUUACAGUAUAAUACCUUCAUCUUUUUCUUUAUUUUUAAUUUAGUCUUGCAGGUAUUAUCAAACUUGCACCACCUCCCCUAAUAGUACAUGAAUGUGAAUCAAUAGUACAUUCAUGUGAAUAUAUCAAUAGUUCUAUACAUGUGGAAAAAAAUAGUUACGAUAUAGUACCUUCAUCGUCUAUACUAGGACUGAGCAUUCGGUUAUAACCGAACCGAAUAGCUUAUUCGGUUAUAACCGAAUACCGAACCGAACUUAUUUUUGUUAUCCGAAAGACUACCCGAAAUGACAAAUAACUGAAUAACCGAAUAACCGAAUAACCGAAUUAAUUAUUUGGUUAUUCGGUUAAUAACCGAAUGUAAUACACAGACACACUACACAGUACACAGCAAUCAACAUGAAUUAUCCUAACAGUUUUAUAUGUUUACAGUCAACAUUCUCCAACACCAACUGAGACAACAUUCAACAACAAUCAACAACAUCAAGUCCAACUGAUAUACAUUCCCAACAGACAAGUGACUGCAGCAUGAAUACACCAACUGAUAUAGCACAGCAUGAUACAGACAACUGAUAUACACAGCAUGAUACACACCAAGUCCAACUGAUAUACACUAACUGACAACAUCACAACACAGCUUGAAUUUCCAACAGAGUACAGACAAGUGAGACAACAUUCAACAUACAAAAGCAACAGAAUGAUCCACCAAGUCAACAGCAACAGAGAGUCUGAGACAACACCAACUGAGACAACACCAAAAACAUGAAUGAGAGUAUGACUGAGACACCAAAAAUAGACUGACUAAGACACCAAAAAAAGACUGACUGAGACACCAAGUCAACAGCAACAGACUGAUCCAACACCAACAAACUGACUGAGACUGUAAGACCCCGAAUUUUAUGAAAUAAAAGUAUUCAAUUUUUCUUAUAAUUACUAUUCAGUAAAUGGUUAAAUUGAUAAAAAAGUUAAAGUUAAGGGUGAUAUAUGAAUUUUUUCAAAAAUACGCAAGUGGUUAUAAAAUAUUCAUUGUUGUCGGGGAAUAUUCGUUUGGUCGUGGAAUAUUCUUUCUGUCGGGAAAUAUUCGUACGACGGCGCAACCAUUUGUGGGCCACAUAACAGAAUAACUGUCGGAUGAAGAAAACGACAAAAGAGAGUUUUUAUAAAUAACGACGUAGUUGUUAAUACUGUUGGAAUACCCGGUGGUUAAAAUAAAGUAAUACGCGUUGUUGCACAGUAGCACACGGUAUUACACAGUAUUUUUGAAUUAUUGAUUCUUACGUAAGAAGGCACUACUCAAUAAUUGUUACAGUAAUUAUUGUUCAAUAUUUUAUUNNNNNNNNNNNNNNNNNNNNNNNNNNNNNNNNNNNNNNNNNNNNNNNNNNNNNNNNNNNNNNNNNNNNNNNNNNNNNNNNNNNNNNNNNNNNNNNNNNNNNNNNNNNNNNNNNNNNNNNNNNNNNNNNNNNNNNNNNNNNNNNNNNNNNNNNNNNNNNNNNNNNNNNNNNNNNNNNNNNNCCCAUGUACGAAGGUUUCCUUGAGCACUUCCCAAAGAUUCUAAUUUCUAAAACAGUUUUCGACUAUACCUUUAUGUAAGGUGUCAUUAUGAGGUGCUGUCCACGGUUGGGACAUGAGUCACAGUUGAUAUAUAUUUAUAUCCAAACUCAUAGCAUAUGUGUUGUUGUAUUUUGCACGACAAUUGUUGUAAUAAAGUUGUAGUUAUUUUCUGUACCAUGUAUUUGGUGACUCAGAAUGGGUUGGAUGGAAUGGACCUAUUUUGGGGUCGUUACAGAGACAUAUUACAAAAACAUGAAUGAUCUGAGCCAUAUUACAAAAACACCAAACUGCAACAAGUCAACAACAAUCUGUAGAUCUGCAAUGAAUAAAAAGAAAGAAACUAAUGAUAACUGAGCCAACUUCCAAACUGCAAAUCUGCAAUGAAUAAAAAGAAAGAAACUACAUCAGUUGCAAAUACAUUAUUUUUUAAUGCUCAUUAAAUGUAUACAAUGAAUCAAUGUAUACAAUUAUUUUCUCUGUUGUGUAAUCGAAAUACAAUACUAGGUAACAUACAAAAGCAAUUAAACACAAAUUCAAUGAACCUUAUAUGCAAAUUAAUGAAUCAAGAGAUGAAUUUACCUCAUUAAUUAAGUUGAGUCAUAGAAACAUUGGCAUCAUUAGUAGCAAGGCUCAACGUGGAAAUUGCUGAAAAAUGAAAAAUAUAAUUAAACACAUUAUUUUUAUAAAUUAUUUUAUUAGUUCAAUAAAAUAAACAUAAACAAUAAUUAUUACCACACUCAAGUUUAUCGGCAAAGUCGUUAUCUUCCUCCACAUCAAUGCAAUUCUUCUUUUUAAUCCAAUCUUGAGCACAUAUGAGAGCUUCCACCAUAUUAUGAGACAAUGAACUCCUAAUGAAUCAAGAAUGCGCCCCCCGUGCUAAAUGAGGAUUCCGAACCAACAGUAGAAAUGGGAAUAGCCAACACAUCACGGGCAAUACGUGAUAGGAUAGGGAAUCUUGCACUAUUUGCUUUCCACCACACCAAAAUAUCUAAAGACUCAUCGGCUUCUUCCACAUCUUCAUUUAAAUAUUUGUCCAACUCUGAUUUUUCUCCAAGUAUCACUCCAGUCCGACGCUUUUUGAACUUAUCCAUAAGUCUAUUUGUAUUUUGGAAUUCCAUUGAAUUAGAAUCUUGGGAUGACAUGUUAAUUAAACUUGAUGUGCCACUUGGCCCACUUUCUUGAGUUGAAUACUUUUUUUGUACUCAUUAAACAUAUCUUCCAUUGCAUUCUUCACACCAUCGGCAAUCUCUAUCCCCGUGGCCCUAUUCCUUGCUUGAUAUUCUAAAUCCCUAUCUUCAUUAUCAAUAUCAAAAUGAAGAUCUACUCCCAUACCCACCAACGGAUCUUAAACUUCAAUUUCAUCAUCUCCAUACAUUUUGUCUAAAACAAAUUGAACAAAACUCAACUUAGACCGAGGAUCAAGCACAGCGGGAAUAUACAACAACAUAUUCAUCUUUGUAACAUUUCCCCAAUACUUAUCAUAUUUUCUUUUCAUUGCCUUGGCCAUUUGUUUCAAUUCUCUAUCAUUGCUUCUUUCCCACUCACUCAAAAUAACAUAAGUUUCACUUAUUUCAUGAAAUGCAGUAUUUGAUGUGACAUAAGACGAGCCGGAAAUACGCACAGUGAGAUUAUAAAAAUGUUCUAAGAAUCUCACAAACAAUUUAGCCAUAUUCCAAUCCGAGUCCGUUGGAAUAUCUUGGCCCCCUAUCUCUUUUACAAAGCCAUGAUCUUCAAAUCCAUAUCGAUCAAAAGCUUCUUUAUACUUUAAGGCUGAACUUAACAUCAAGUAAGUAGAGUUCCAUCUAGUUGGGCAAUCUAGACUUAAGCCUUUCUUGUCUUGAAGACCACAAUACUCAAUACUGUUCUUAAAUGACUUGACCCUAGCCGGGGAUUGUUUUGCAUACUUCACUGCACGCCUAACAUUCUCAACAGAUUUCUCAAUCAACUUCAACCCAUCAUUCACAACAAGAUUAAUAAUGUGAGCUAUACAUCUCAUGUGAAUGAACUUACCACCCAAGACAUUAGUUUUCCAAAAUGAACAUCUCUCUCUCAAGUAAGCAGCUGCUGUAUCAUUUGAGCUAGCAUUAUCUACAGUGAGUGUCAUAAAUUUAGAAAGUCCCCACUUUUCUAGACAAGACUCAACCAUUUCCCCAAUGUCCUUCCCCUUAUGACUUGUGAUGGUUCGAAAAUUUAAGAUUUUCUUAUGUAAUUUCCAAUUUUCAUCAAUAAAAUGUGCAGUAACACAUAUAAUUCAAGCGUUGAUUGGAAGUCCAAGAAUCAGUAGUGAGGCAAACACAUUCACAAUUUUUUCUAAGGAAUGUUUUCAGCUUAAUUUUCUCAUUAUCAUACAAACGAAUGCAGUCUCUAGCAAAUGUAAAACGUGAAGGCAACUGAAACCUAGGACAUGCAGCUUGCAUAAGUCGUUUAAAACCAUCUUUCUCAACAUGUUUGAAAGGAAGCUCAUCUACAAUAAGAUGGUAAGUAACGGCUGCCCUAACAACUUCUUGGUCAAACCUCCAAGUGGUGAGUGUACUCUCACAUGCCCCUCCCUCCCCCUCACCCUCUUUAAUUCCUACAAGUUGGGGUUGAGCUUUAUCCAUGUUGAUGGGAUUUUUUUUACAAGUUCUAAAGUGAUUUCUUAAAGCAGUAGUACCAUUUGAAGAUGAAUCAGCAGCUAAUUCUUUUCCACAAUAAGUACACUUACCUUUGAUGACAUUACCAUCAUUAUCUUUAACUGGAAUGAAGUGCCCCUCAGUCCACACCUUGGAUCUAGGCGCCAUCCUUUUUCUUUGCAGCUUUACAUUUUCUGAUUGUCCCGUACUCUUUGUACUUGUCUCUAUAUUGGGGGUGGGGGUGGGAACACUGUCACCCCCUUCUUUCUCAUGUCCAAUACCAAUUGCAUCAAGGUCAUCAAGGUCAGGCUUGUUUGUAUCAUCCACCAUAUGCAAAUCGUUUAAAAUACUUCUUGACAUCAUCUGAAAAUUUCAAACAAAUUACAUUAACAACGAAAGUUUAAAAAGUUUAUAUAAAUCAAAAACUUCAAGUAAUUAAUAUUCAAGCAUAAAUCAAAAUACAACAUUUCAGUUACAUUUUAACAUUUUAGUUGACAUACAUCAAUAUGUUGUAUUUAGUUUCCACAUUUCAGUUGACAUACAUGUACUCUUCCACCUUUGCAAUCAUUUUACUUCAAGUUUGAUCAUACAUGCUAAACACCAGCAGAUAACUAACCAACAACCAUACAAUCUAAAUAAUCAGCUAUCAUGAAAUAAACUAUUGUUCUUGAAGUGAAUGUAAAUGCAUGUUAAUAAUUUUCUUAUUCACAAGUGACUCUGUUAAUUUAAAAAACACUUGGCCCAACUAUCAUACACUUGGUCCAGCAGAUAACUAACCAACAGCCAUACAAUCUAAAUAGUCAGCUAUCAUGAAAUAAGCUAUUGAUCUUCGAAUUCACAUGUGAUCACAUAAUACUACUUUAUUUAACUUGUAGGACAAAAAAAAGUCCAAACAAGAAAUAUACAAGCAAUAUAACAAAUACACAGAUAAGAGAUAACUACAGGGUGAAAAAGGUAUAGAGUUUCAAAAAUCACAACAAACGGUGAGACAAAAACCAUAGAAGUCAAAAAGCACCACCAAAAUAAUUAAUGCUUACUUGAAAGACAGUGAAUCAGUGAGACGGCGAGUCGGCGACGACGAGAGGCGCGAAGAGAGGACAGAGACCGCGCCGGAGACUUGAGAAUCGAGAGUCGACUGUCGAGACGACUGAGGGUCAGUGAGGGACUGAGGGUCGAGAGUCGACUGUCGAGACGAGAGGCAGAGAGUAAGAGACCGCGCCGGAGACUGAGACGAGGAGAGGUGGAGGCCGGACCGGAGACUUGAGAAUCGAGAUUCGAGAGUGACUGAGUGAGAAUUCGAGUCUUUGAGAUCUCAGAUCUGGACGACUAGCGAGUGGGUUAGGGCAAAAUGGAAUUGGGGGAAAACUCAAAAUGGGUGAAUACUGAUAUUAUGAAUAGAAGUUAAUAGAUAUUAUGAAUAUAUGAUUAAUAAUUAAUUUUUUUUUAAUAUUAAAAUUCGGUUAUUCGGGUUACCCGAAUAAUCUGUUUUUGAAAAUUGAAACCGAAAUCGAAUACUGAAUUAAAAUUCGGAUAUAACCGAAAUUCCAAAAAAAACGAUAAUCGAAAUAAAUCGUUUAAAAUAAUUCGAUUUGGUUCGGUAGUUCGAUUUUAUCCGUUUUUUGCUCACUCCUAGUCUAUACCUCUAUUUUUAAUUUAGUCAUGCAAGUAUUAUAAAUCUUGCGCCACCUCCCCUAAUAGUACAUGCAUGUGAAUCAAUAGUUCAGUCAUGUGAAUCAAUAGUUUUAUACAUGUGAAAAAAAUAGUUACAGUAUAGUACCUUCAUCCAUACCUCUAUUUUUAAUUUAAUCAUGCAGUAUUAUCAAUCUUGCACAACCUCCCCUAAUAGUUUAUGCAUGUGAAUAAAUAGUACAUACAUGUGAGCAAAUAGUUAUAAGCAUGUGAAUUAAUAGCAAUUAAUUGCUCAUUUAUUCGAUUAAUUACCCGAUUGGUCAAUAUAACCUCCAAAAAUCAAUUAUUAUCAGAAUAAAUGUCGAUUUCUACUAACACUAAUAAUCCCAACACAAUGAAAAUAUCAAUUUCAUCUUUAAUCAACACGAACUUAUUCAUCAUUAAUAUUAUAACUCACGAUAUUUAACAAUCAGAUUAUUCCCAGGAAAGAGGGGGCUUUCUGAUAAGGAUUUCUCCCUAUUGGCGCGCAAUUAGGUGACCAAAUCUCUUUCCUCGAUAGAACUUUCUAGACAUCGUCAAUAUUGCAAAUAAUAAUAUGAAUAACUUUGUCGUCUCAAUUAUUGAUUUAAUAAUAUAAAAUAUUAUGCAGAUGAUACUGUGACAAUAAUUGAAUCAAUAAUAUAAGAGAUAUUAUGCAACAAUUACUGUAUGAAUAAUUGAGUAUAACUGAGUGACUUCGCACGUAAGCAUCAAUAAUCAAUAUCGUGUGCUACUAUGCAACCACGCGUAUUACUGUUCUUUUACCACCGGAUAGUUCAACAGUUUAACGGUAAAAACUUUCGCCAUUAUUUUCAUAAAAAGAUAUUUAUGUCGUUUUCUAACUACGACAAUAGUUCCAUUGUGGGGUCCACCAAUGAUUGUGCCGUCGUACAAAUAUUCCCUGUUAAAAAAAGUAUUUCCCUACCAAGUGAAUAUUUCUCGACACAAAAAAUAUUUUAUAACAACUUACUUACUUUGCAAAAUUUUUAAAUAUCAUCCUUAGCUUUAACUUUUUAUCAAUUUAACCAUUUACUAAAUAGAAUAACAAUUAUCAAAAAACUGAAUACUUUCAUUUCGUAAAAUUCGGGGUCUUACAGCGGCAGUUACCGCCUCCUUUCGAUCUCCUCCUCUUCAUCCUUUUCCUUCGCUGCCGCUUCAGCACCUUGAAGAUGUAGAUCUUGUAAGUCUUCUUCACUUUCUUCUUCUUCUUCUUCUUCACUCUCUUUAUAUGGCGUAAUGUAGGGGUUUUGAUGGAUUAUUUGAGGUAGAUGGGUUACUGUUCGGUGACUUUCAAGCUCUGCAAAUGCUUUCUGAAGCUGUUGUAUCUUAAAAGUGGUCGACUCUAUGAGUAUGGCAACCGACUGUGUGUCUUCCAUUGCAUAUGAUCCCUAACGGAGUUACAAAAAAUAAAUGCGUCAACAAAGGGGUUAAGAUAGAUUAGUAAAGGAAACAACCUUUUCUUUACAUUCCAACGAGUAAUAGAAUUUUUUUUCAUGGUAGCUAUACAUGUAAAUACUAUUCUGAAUUUUUUUUAUAACUAUUUGGUUAUUCACAUAAACUAAAAUGGUUACCUUUGUAUAAAUGUUUGGCUACCAACUGGAUAUUUUUAUGGUUACCUUUGUAUAAAGGUUUGGAUACCAACUGUACAUUUUUAUUUAUUUAAGGUAACCGAGAUUGUAUUACACAAUAUUGAAUAAUAUUUUAUAUUUUUUUCCCUUACAUUAAAUAAGAGGAAAACCAUCGGACUACUCUUCGAUUUCAUCAUGGUUUAACAAGAUAAAUAAAACAAAUACAUGUAACACUUAGUAACUGUUCUGAAUUUUUUUAUGACUAUUUGGUUACCCACAAACUAAAAUGGUUACCUUUGUAUGAAAGUUUGGUUACCAACUACACCAUAUACAGAAUGCACGAUUACUCGGGUUUGGCAUGCAAUUCAAAUUGUCAGAGAGAAAUAAUCGGGACCAAUUACAUAAUUACAAAACUGAUUUGCCACAUCAGCAAUCCAUUAAAACACCCAACUAAAUUAAAAGAAAACUAAAUUCACUAAUUGUGUAAAUAAAAUAUUUAAAUGCAUUAAUUGUAUAAAUAUUUUAGGUAUGCACUAUUAUUGUAAUUAUUUUUAAAAAUAUAAUAUAAAAUAUAAUUGUUCCCUUUAUUUAUUGCCCAAACUCGGCUCCGCUCACUCAAAUAAAAUUCAAACAUGCUUUAAAUGGGCCGAACGAACAGGUUUCGGGCUUGACCAAGCCAAUUGACAAUUUUAAGGAGUAAUGUCAAAUACAAGAUUUGACUUUGACAUAAGUGUAGGUAAAAUUAUUUUUUUACGCACACUGUAUUAUUGAGUUUUAAAAUGGAUAGCAAAUUUAAUUUUUUUGUAAUUAUGUUUUUUGCGAGUUUUUAUUUAUUUAUUGAGUACUAGAAAAAAAAUGAACUAAAAACUUGGUUAUUUUUCUUGUCAAAGUAUUCUGUCUAAAAAUAAACAAAUUUGGACUGAAAAAUAAAUAACAUAAGCAAUUUUUUUAUAAUAUCUAUUGUACACUUUACAUUAUAAACACAACACAACUAAUACAAGUGAUUAUUUUAAAUGUAAAAUUUAAGUUUUCUUUCAUUUUUCCUUAUAAGAUUAGUACAUAACAACAUGAAUAUAAUUGACAAGUUUUCUAUUUUUUUUUGUUCAAAUUUAAGUUUUUUAUUUUAUUUUUUUACCAUUAAAACUCAAAACCUAGUGUAUUAGAACAACAAAGUAAUUAAAAAAAUUAGUAUAACAUAUUUAAAUUUGUAAGUCUUGUAAAAUUACUCAUAAUUUAAAAUAAGAUAACAAUGUUCACAACAACAUUUUUUUGAGAUUCUAUAUCUUGAAAUAAAUGCAUAAAAUAUCUUUUGUAGAAUUUGUGGAUUUUAAAAACUUUUAAAAUGACUUUUAAAGAUACUAUGAAAUAAGUGACAACUUGAGUGUAUUCAAUUAAGACAUUUAAAGAUUUUUAAAGACUUUAAAAGUUUGAUUGUAUUCAAUUAAGACAUUUAUAAAAUUUAUAAAAGUUUAGUGGUAUUUAAUUACAACUUUUUUAAUGUCUUUAUAAGUUAGGUGAUAUUGAAUUGAGACUUUUACAAAGUCUAUAAAAGUAUUUUGGUAUUUAAAAAGUUAUAAAUUUUUUAGAUUUUAUCAAAUAGUAGAGUUUGACUUUUAUAUACUUCUAAUAUAUCUUGCAAUUUAUAUUAAAUAAUUAUUCAUCCAAGCAACCUCAUCUGAUAACGUAAUAAGCUUUUGACUAUAAUUCUUCAUCGGAUUACUGUAUCAACACUUGCGGUUGCAAACCCAAAUAAGAAAGAGAAUUUUUAAAAAUACUAUAAAUAUGAUUACCACUAACAUUAGUAUUAACUUUGUCAACAAAUAAAUCAAGAAAUAAUCAAUGUCUCAUCUUCUCAUAAAAAUUUUAAAUUAUUUAAUUAGUAAAUUACGCGUUGGCCCUAAAAUAAUUUUUUUUCUAGAUAACUAAUUUUAUUUAAGUUUCUUAAUUUCACAAAUAUACACUAUUAAGUAAAAGGGGAAAAAAUCAAAAUUUUAGUGUAGGCAAUUUGCCAUGCGCCCUGAGUGGCAGAGAGAGAGAGACUGGACUGAAUCAGGUCUUCUAUGUGUGUGUAUGAGAGAAAGAGUUGUUGGGAUGGGCAAGGGUCUGUCCAUCAGUCGGUUCAAAUAACAUACCUAUUUUGAUUAAUCAUCGAUUUUCAUUUUCUCAUAUUUACAAUAUAAUUUUUGGAUAUUUAUAAUGAGAAACUGAUAUUUUCAUAUAAUUUUUUGAUAUUUUCACAUAAAGACCGUCGAUUCUAUAGCGACGAUUUUUACUGUCGCUAUACAUCUAUAACGACACUUUUUGUGUGAAAAUAUUAAAAGUUAUGUAGAAAUAUCAAUUUCCUUACAAUGGAAUCAAUUUAAAUUGUUUGAUUAUGAUUUAUUAAACUACAUCCCUAAAAUCGACAGAAAAAAUGAACGAAAACUUAAAAUAUCUAUUUAAUUUAUUUGUUAUUGAGUUUUUUAAUAAAUGGAAAAACAAAGAAAUAGACGGAUAACUUGACCACUUCUCUUUUCAAACUUUAUGGACGAAAAACAUAAUAUUAUCUUUUAUGAUCCUUAUUAUACCCACUAGAUUAUAAACAUAAUAAAAUUAAUAUAAGGGCAACUUAAUAAUUUAAAUGUGAAUUUUAAGUUUUCUUUUUUUCUAUUUUAUAAACUCAGUAAUAACAUGAGAAAAACAUACAAGUUUUCUAUUUUUUUAUCAUAAAUUAAAAAAAAAAAUCCAUCCCAAACUCAGAAACAGAGUGCAAAGCACAAUGCUAGUAAUCUAACACGAAUUGUGAUUUGCAACAAAAUUUGAAAUGUUUAAAUACUUGUAAUUAAUACGAUAAUAUAAUCUAAUUGCAUGUCUUUAAUUUGCAAGCGAUGAUAAUGAGAAAUAUUUUAUAGAAUUGAUAUUAAUGAAAAGAGAGUAAAAAAAAACUGUUAUAAUCCAUUAUUAAAGUCCUAAAGUUCAUAAAUCAUUGAUCAGAAAAUGAUUAGUUUCAAAUGUGAUGAUCAUUCAUACUGUAUUCACGCUCACUAUUUCCUUUCUUUUCUUCACGUAUAUGAAAAAGGUUAAUGUUAGGAGUUAAUUUUUUUUUUUUUGUCUCAAAUGAUAUAUGGUAUUAGUAUUACAUUUAUUGAUUGUAAUUCUUAUUGGGCAGAACAUAAAAUAGUUUUUAUUCUAUUCCAUGCAGGCACAUCAUUACAAAUUUGAUCAGAUAAUUUUUUUUGAGACCCCUAUUAUUAAUACGACAAAUUUCUACAUGCAUAUUUUCUUUUAAUAAUUUUGUAUAAUAAAUUAUAAUUUUUAAGCUUAAAAUUAUUGAAAAAUUAUAUCUAAUUGUUAUAUGUGAACCUUAUAAUUUAUUUUUGAAAAAAAGUUUAUUACGAUUUAAGUCAAAAAAAGAAAAGAAAAGGAAAAAAGUACACAUGGUGGGGGUGGGGGCGAAAUUGAAUAAAAAAUAUAUCAGUGAUGCUGCACAAUCGGCUGUAUGACUCUUGGGGAUGGUAAAGCAAGCACGUGAUCGGAAAACAAAGGCAAGCACCACCACUACUACUACCUCAGUCAAAUAUAUCGGGUCUGACUCGCCCGCCUUAAAAGACCUGGAAAUUAGGAUAAUAUUUCUUAUGUAUAUUAUUUUCUUACCCCACCCUAAUUAAUUAAUCUUAAUAUAUCUCCACCAUAGGCCGCCCCACCCUAUGUUGUAAGGCAGUGUCGACCAUUACGUGUAUGCCUGUCCUGUCCAAACCCUGGCUGCCUCAUUACUUGCUAUAAAUACUUGAGUCCAAUUUUAGUUUCUGCAAACAACUGGAAAACCCAAUAAAGAGCAAAAACAUUGAAAGAGGGAACGAGAAGGAGUAGGAGACUGCGAAGCCAACUCAAAGAGCUUCUGUUCCUUGUAUGUUCUUACAACCCAUAAAUACAAACAUUUACACUAUUGUAUAGAUAGAAAUAUAUACUGUAAUGUCCAUUUAGCUCUUUUUAUGGUGCAUUAAUUAGAAUGUCCAUCAUCAUUUGUUGUUUAAUUAGUUGUUGCUUCAUACAAAUAUAUUAGUACUUUUUAUGGUGUAAAUAUUUAUGACUGAAUCAUUUCCCAUUCUUAAUUAUUUUGCAGGGCAAAAGAUAAAAAUGGGUGCAGGUGGGCGUAUGUCUUCUCCUCCUGUAGGCAAGAAAACUUCAGCUGAAGCCCUUCGACGAGCUCCUCACGAGAAGCCUCCAUUUUCAUUAGCAGACUUAAAGAAAGCCAUUCCACCUCAUUGCUUUCAAAAAUCUCUUGUUACCUCUUUCCGAUACCUUAUUCAGGAUCUGAUCAUGGCCUACACCCUCUACUAUGUCGCCACUAAUUAUAUUGACCUUCUUCCCCGUCCUCUAAAUUACUUGGGUUGGGCUGCU
RNAcentral lists this long non-coding RNA (22854 nucleotides) under Panax ginseng (ginseng). RNAcentral describes it as "long non-coding RNA (PGIN_LNC004477)". Lineage: Eukaryota; Viridiplantae; Streptophyta; Magnoliopsida; Apiales; Araliaceae. The record is from RNAcentral.